Molecule: long non-coding RNA, 998 nt
Organism: Mytilus californianus (California mussel)
Lineage: Eukaryota; Metazoa; Mollusca; Bivalvia; Mytilida; Mytilidae
Exons: 3
Source: RefSeq, a predicted model, not a curated record
CAGAAAAUACAAAUGAUGCCAAAGAAGAAAAGAGAAAAGGAACUUGGACUGUACCAUUUUCUUUGCAGCUCCUAAGAUCUAGGAGGUGAAUUUCCUUCUGUUGAGGAGUCGGAAAUUUAGACUGUCCUGAAGAUAUUAAAUGAAGAUUAUUAUUGAAAAAAAGAGCACCUUGAAGUACUAGAAGAAUUUGAAAACAAAUUAACUUGGUGAAAUAGUCCUACUGGAUAUGACAGAACACCAAGAGAAAUGGUGAAAAAUUACACAACUUAUCACAAGAAGAUAAAAGCUUUUUGCAAUUUUCGGUGGUUCUGAGAUCAGUUACAGUCAAAGGAAAAAAAAAUACUGAACAUGUAUUAACGAUUCAUCGAUCUUAUGAUGUAUCUUGAUUGAUAUCUUAAAACAUAUUGACUGUAAACUAGUUACAAAUUCACCAAUUAUAUCUGUUGUUCACAAAAUUUGUUAUUGUUGUUAGUUGGAAAUAUCUGUUGAAUGUUUUGAAAUUAAAAUGUGUAAAUUUAAAUGAUGUUCAUUGAAGUCUUUAAAUGAUACAAAAGGAAGGAUACAUGGAAUAAUUGCCAUUGAGACAACUACUUUUCCUGCAUAGGAGGGCAGUGAUGUAAACAACUACAGUUCACCUUAAGCCUUCAACAAUGUGCAAAAUCCAUAAGUUAAAGACAGUUAUAAAAGGUCCCAAGAUAAUGGUACUUAUACUUAUACAUCCUUGGCAUUCAAAUUUUUGGUUUGAGUGUUUCUGAUGAAGGUAAAUUAAAAAAAUGCACAGCAAAACUUAAUUUAUAAAAUGUUUUUUUUUCAAUUUCAAAAGAGAAUACUAAUGGCCAAAUUUAAGCAAAUACCAAAAAAGAAAAUCGAUUAUGGCAGACAGCAACCAAACACAACCACUGGACUUUAUGAUCCUGUUUUGGAGUGCUCAAACUGCACCAUAACCUGGGACUCAUAAACAUCUUAUAUAAUACUGAAAGACAGAAAAGUGUAAAGUG